GAGGAAAUGGGCUCCUAUCCCACAAAAUACUUUUCCAGCGCUACACUGGUACAGAACAGACACUUCUGAAAGAUUUAACUGGAAACAGAAUAAUGAAUACACCAACAGACAGGGCUUCAGAGAAAAUGGAAACAGAUUUUUUCCUCAAACUUGAGAAAGGAGUGGGCUCCACUAAAAUUACAUCCAUCUUUCUUAUGGCUUCCUGGGAAGUCACAAGCAUAUUCAGAAAUCCACCCACCCAUCUGCUGUAGUAUGAAGCUGGGUAAGUUGUUUAGUCAAGUUUAGACUAGUGCCCACUGCAUAUGUUAUG
Molecule: long non-coding RNA, 310 nt
Filed under: Junco hyemalis (dark-eyed junco)
Lineage: Eukaryota; Metazoa; Chordata; Aves; Passeriformes; Passerellidae
Description: lncRNA (ENSJHYG00000011792.1)
Source: RNAcentral